This 461-nucleotide ribosomal RNA is filed under the name uncultured bacterium. RNAcentral's name for it is "partial 16S ribosomal RNA". It matches the Rfam family "Bacterial small subunit ribosomal RNA", at positions 338 to 795 of the family's 1533-position model. The record is from RNAcentral.
CCUACGGUGUGCUGCAGUGAGGAAUAUUUGUCAAUGGGCGAGAGCCUGAACCAGCCAAGUCGCGUGAAGGAUGACGGCCCUACGGGUUGUACACUUCUUUUGUCAGGGAGCAAUUGGGUCCACGCGUGGGCUUAGCGAGAGUACCUUAAGAAAACGCAUCGGCUAACUACGUGCCAGCAGCCGCGGUAAUACGUAGGUGGCAAGCGUUAUCCGGAUUUAUUGGGUGUAAAGGGCGUGUAGGCGGGAAAGCAAGUCAUAUGUGAAAACUCAGGGCUCAACCCUGAGCCUGCAUUUGAAACUGUUUUUCGUGAGUGCUGGAGAGGCAAUCGGAAUUCCGUGUGUAGCGGUGAAAUGCGUAGAUAUACGGAGGAACACCAGUGGCGAAGGCGGAUUGCUGGACAGUAACUGACGCUGAGGCGCGAAAGCGUGGGGAGCAAACAGGAUUAGAUACCCCAGUAGUC